CAAAACAAUGUCAUAAGAUUCUGCUGAAACAGUAGCCAGUAUGAGGGUCCGGACAGCUUUCUUAGGCAGGCACAGAGAUUAGCCACGGUUUACGACAUAUUAUUACCACAGGAGACAGGAAAGGGCCUAUCUUCAGUCAGAAGACUAGGGAAAGUCUAAAAGCUGAAAAGAGAAACAAAGGGAUUCGUCCUCUUAUUUAAAUAGCAUUGAAUCAGUUUGGCCACCAUUUCAGAGUUAGAAAAAUUCUGCCUCUGGAUGAGAGACAAAGCUACAAAUGCCCCCCAUUUUGGUCCAAGACCUUUGUUUACGGACGCUCAGAUUAGGAGCUUUUUUUUUUCCCCCUGUAACAUCACAAAGCAAUUUUAUACUCGUUUCUGGGUUUGUCUCCUCUUCUGGCCUGGGGCCUCCUUUCGAGGCCAGAGACGAGUCUAGCAGGUGCUUACUAAGUGGUUUUUGUGAAUGAAUGAUUCAUUUGCAACCUCUCCUUUGAGACUGGUCCUUUUAACUCCACCUUUUACGGAUGGGAAACUGAGGCCAGAGAGGAUCGCCCUGCAGGAGAGCAAGUAAGGGACGGCUCUAGUCGGGUCGGCCAUCCAAGAUCCCCUCCACUCUCCUCUCGGCAGGACCUAAGGGACAGGCGCCCCGCUAAAGCCUCCGCAAACCUGGGAAAGGGCUGAGCCACAGAAGCAGCACCCGGACCGGUUUACCCGGUUCCAGGAACCUGGGGCGAGGUCCGCGCGUCCGAGCCGGGAAGGCGCAGGCCUAGGCCAGGCGGGGCGGGGCCUCGAUCUCCGCCAGGAAAUGGGAGUCCUAGGCGGGGAGGUCGAGGCUGCUGAAGCUCCCCACGUGUCCAGAGGAGCCCAGAAGCCCACACCGGUAUCCACGGGGAACCAGAGCCCCUGCAGCAGUGUCUCGUGGCGCUCGGAUCCACACACGUGUGCUCAGGGGGGUCCACA
This is a long non-coding RNA of Herpailurus yagouaroundi (jaguarundi), 956 nucleotides long. RefSeq lists it as uncharacterized. The transcript is spliced from 2 exons. The record is from RefSeq and is a predicted model, not a curated record. Lineage: Eukaryota; Metazoa; Chordata; Mammalia; Carnivora; Felidae.